GUUUGCUGGAAGUAAAAUCGUAGACCAGACCAAGCAUAAGCUUUCUUCUUAGUUUACAGUGUGUGAGGGGAUGCGCAAUUGGAGCAGCAUUUCAUAACAUCACCAAGCUUUAGGCUUCAGCUUGACCACUAAAGCUGACAGCUUGGUGCAAACUGGAGGAUGGUGAACCUGAGCAGGCUGAACAUCUGUCUUGGACAUCUUUACAUACCCCACAUACCAAAGGCCAGUCUGGACUUAGGCUAGAAUUCUGUGCUGUUCGAUGGGGCUGCAAUAUGGCCGCCACAGGGGCUUUGUGAACUCAUCAUCUCGAAGACCUCCCAAGAAAUAUAGCCCUUCCGUUUUUGUUUCGCACCACUCUAUACACCCCCCCAAGCAGUAUAUUGCCUAGUCCCUUGAACUAGUGGAUCCUGUUGCUGUUCCAAGAUGAUAUCAUUGAUUUAUCUUCCUCUGGGGAGAGAGAGAAAGACUAGAGGGGGAGGUGGUGGGCUGGUAAGAUGGUGUUUCCCCUCCUCAUUGUGUGGAGGAUGCCUGAUAAAGAAGAUGUAUUAGUGGAGGUAGCUCACGGGUGUCUGUCUGGCUGGAUCCAUCAGACCAAGUGAGGACCAUCAGGCACAACUAUACACCCAGUAUAUCCUGGAACAUUCCAGAACACUGGAUAUCUCACUCUACUCUCCAGGCGAGGCUAUCGUUCACCUUGACACUUCCUCUUUCUGCGCAUCUAUCCUCCCACUCAACUUCUCCUCCCUUACAUUAAAACAACACCAUUGAAGAGGAAGUGGGUUGUGUGCUGUGAGCAGAAACCUUUUUUUUGUCUAGAACAUGAAAACCACUGCUCAAUAGGCUGGUGUUUCUCUAACCAGUCUGAGUGACCCUUCAUACCUUGGUUAUGCAUAUUUAAGGUGCAGUCAGCGUUUGUAUGCUAUUUCAAGCCCAUACAAUUUUUUGUCACAUUCAUCUCCUUACGGUUCGCUAGCUGUCCAUUCUUUGAGUACACUGUACCCGGUCUCUGUAGGCAGCCCAGCCCCCCCCCCCCCC
Molecule: long non-coding RNA, 1035 nt
Organism: Alosa sapidissima (American shad)
Lineage: Eukaryota; Metazoa; Chordata; Actinopteri; Clupeiformes; Clupeidae
Exons: 2
Source: RefSeq, a predicted model, not a curated record